AUGGUGCUGUGGGGAAGAGGGAAGUGUCAGGCAGCUGAGAUGGCUCUGCUGCUUCUCCUACCACAGCUUUCAGCCACGGGUGACGCCAUAAAUUCCCCUACUCUGGUUACUGUAAAGUCUUUCAGGGUGGUCAGGACUUGAAUUCCUCACACAAAAGAAGAAGCAGGGGAAGAGGAAACUGCAAGCAAGGGCCUUCCCCACCUCAGGGAUCUGUCACAAGGACUCAGCAAGGCUCCAAGCGUGGUUUCUUGCUCUGCAGUCUCUCAGCUCAAGCCUCCUGGGUAAGUGCCCCUCACUCCCCUCUCGCCAGUGAACACCCUCCUCCCAGCCUGUGCUUCCCACUCAUGCUCCAGCAGGUCCAUCUGGCUCCUUGGCCCCUCUGAUCUGCAGGUUUGUUGUUGCACUUCAGCUUUGGAGUAACCAGAAGAGGCAGAGCUCAUCCAGCAUCGCAGAGCUGUGGGGAUGGCACUGGGUCCUGUCCUGAGCUGUAUGGCACUGGUGCUCCACCAGCUCCCAGCCAGCUUCCAUCCUGGACCUCAAAUCCAGCUGCUGUGUGAGACACAAGUGAGCUUCUGUGCCACCCCACACCGCCCAGCCUCACCUGAGGGCUGUGCUGAGAUGUCAUGAGAGAAGAUCAGUGAAAAAUCAGCAGCCAAGUGUCAGCACUGCCAGAGAAGGUCCUUGCUAAGGCAAGUUCCACCACGGAGCAGGACGAGGACAGGUCAUUUUGCAGAAAGCCAUAGUGACCAUGGCUAACCCCACCCCAAGCAUGUGAGUCUUGUGAAAGGAGUAAAUACACACUUCUCACAACCCUCUGCACUGGGGAAAGGGCCUUCUUGGAAUAAAGGAGCAAUCCAGGUUGGCUUUGGAGAGGUAGGGACAUG
Long non-coding RNA from Neopelma chrysocephalum (saffron-crested tyrant-manakin), 884 nucleotides. RefSeq lists it as uncharacterized. The record is from RefSeq and is a predicted model, not a curated record. The transcript is spliced from 2 exons. NCBI's taxonomy places the organism in Eukaryota, Metazoa, Chordata, Aves, Passeriformes, Pipridae.